GAUGAAGAACGCAGCGAAAUGCGAUAAGUAGUGUGAAUUGCAGAAUUCAGUGAAUCAUCGAAUCUUUGAACGCACAUUGCGCCCCUCGGUAUUCCGUGGGGCAUGCCUGUUCGAGCGUCAUCUACACCCUCAAGCUCUGCUUGGUGUUGGGCGUCUGUCCCGCCUCCGCGCGUGGACUCGCCCCAAAUUCAUUGGCAGCGGUCCUUGCCUCCUCUCGCGCAGCACAUUGCGCUUCUCGAGGGGCUACGGCUCGCGUCCAACAAGCACAUUUACCGUCUUUGACCUCGGAUCAGGUAGGGAUACCCGCUGAACUUAAGCAUAUCAAUAAGCGGAGGGA
Molecule: unclassified non-coding RNA, 337 nt
Filed under: soil metagenome
Description: partial contains 5.8S ribosomal RNA, internal transcribed spacer 2, and large subunit ribosomal RNA
Rfam family: 5.8S ribosomal RNA (bases 1-120)
Source: RNAcentral